RNAcentral lists this ribosomal RNA (465 nucleotides) under Vreelandella stevensii. RNAcentral describes it as "partial 16S ribosomal RNA". It matches the Rfam family "Bacterial small subunit ribosomal RNA", at positions 338 to 795 of the family's 1533-position model. The record is from RNAcentral. Lineage: Bacteria; Pseudomonadati; Pseudomonadota; Gammaproteobacteria; Oceanospirillales; Halomonadaceae.
CCUACGGGCGGCUGCAGUGGGGAAUAUUGGACAAUGGGCGAAAGCCUGAUCCAGCCAUGCCGCGUGUGUGAAGAAGGCCUUCGGGUUGUAAAGCACUUUCAGUGGGGAAGAAAGCCUUGGGGCUAAUACCCUCGAGGAAGGACAUCACCCACAGAAGAAGCACCGGCUAACUCCGUGCCAGCAGCCGCGGUAAUACGGAGGGUGCGAGCGUUAAUCGGAAUUACUGGGCGUAAAGCGCGCGUAGGCGGUCUGAUAAGCCGGUUGUGAAAGCCCCGGGCUCAACCUGGGAACGGCAUCCGGAACUGUCAGGCUAGAGUGCAGGAGAGGAAGGUAGAAUUCCUGGUGUAGCGGUGAAAUGCGUAGAGAUCGGGAGGAAUACCAGUGGCGAAGGCGGCCUUCUGGACUGACACUGACGCUGAGGUGCGAAAGCGUGGGUAGCAAACAGGAUUAGAUACCCCGGUAGUC